This is a non-coding RNA of Trichonephila inaurata madagascariensis, 66 nucleotides long. The record is from the annotation of a GenBank genome assembly. NCBI's taxonomy places the organism in Eukaryota, Metazoa, Arthropoda, Arachnida, Araneae, Nephilidae.
GUCCCUGUAGCGCAAUGGGUAGCGCGUUGGACUUCUAAUCCAAAUGUCGUCAUCCCACCAGGGAUG